This is a long non-coding RNA of Zophobas morio, 349 nucleotides long. RefSeq lists it as uncharacterized. The record is from RefSeq and is a predicted model, not a curated record. NCBI's taxonomy places the organism in Eukaryota, Metazoa, Arthropoda, Insecta, Coleoptera, Tenebrionidae. The transcript is spliced from 3 exons.
UUUACGCAGGCAACAAAUUAUUUUAAAUUUUAGGUAAUUUUUUUUACGUAUUUAUACUUUUUUUAAGCUCGACCUUGAAAUGUCUUUUGCCGAUGCGCGUCAAAUUCAAACUCUUGUUGAAAAUCUCUUAAACGAAAUUUGGUCUUCGCAGGGGUUUCGGAUUGAUCUUCCGUUUCCAAUAAUUUCGUAUGAGGAUUCUUUAGCACUGUACGGCACUGACAAGCCCGAUUUAACUUUCGAAGAAAAGAUAGUAGACGUCACUGCAUUGUUUAGUCCACAUAUAGAUUUUUUCAAAAAAAUUAAUAAUUUUAACUCGGAAAACUCGGAUUUUAAAGUUUUGGCCCUAAGU